AUAACGCUGGCGGCGUGCCUAACACAUGCAAGUCGAACGCCCUACGCAAGUAGGGAGUGGCGGACGGGUGAGGAACACGUGAGUACCUACCCUUCAGUGAGGAAUACCGGCGAGAAAUCGCCGACAAUACCGCAUACGUUUCUUCGGAAAGAAAGCUCGCAAGAGCGCUGAAGGAUGGGCUUGCGCCCGAUUAGUUUGUUGGUGAGGUAAUGGCUUACCAAGACGGCGAUCGGUAGCUGGUCUGAGAGGAUGAUCAGCCACACUGGGAUUGAGAACGGCCCAGACUCCUACGGGGGGCAGCAGUGAGGAAUUUUCGUCAAUGGGGGCAACCCUGAACGAGCAACGCCGCGUGCAGGAAGAAGGUCUUCGGAUCGUAAACUGCUUUUCUCUGGGACGAGUAAGGACGGUACCAGAGGAAUCAGCCUCGGCUAACUACGUGCCAGCAGCCGCGGUAAUACGUAGGAGGCAAGCGUUGUCCGGAGUUACUGGGCGUAAAGCGCGCGC
This 504-nucleotide ribosomal RNA is filed under the name uncultured bacterium. RNAcentral's name for it is "partial 16S ribosomal RNA". It matches the Rfam family "Bacterial small subunit ribosomal RNA", at positions 30 to 572 of the family's 1533-position model. The record is from RNAcentral.